RNAcentral lists this ribosomal RNA (253 nucleotides) under uncultured bacterium. Its description in RNAcentral is "partial 16S ribosomal RNA". It matches the Rfam family "Bacterial small subunit ribosomal RNA", at positions 524 to 776 of the family's 1533-position model. The record is from RNAcentral.
UACGAAGGGGGCUAGCGUUGUUCGGAAUUACUGGGCGUAAAGCGCGCGUAGGCGGACUACUAAGUCAGGGGUGAAAUCCCGGGGCUCAACCCCGGAACUGCCUUUGAUACUGAGAGUCUCGAGUCCGGAAGAGGUGAGUGGAAUUCCGAGUGUAGAGGUGAAAUUCGUAGAUAUUCGGAGGAACACCAGUGGCGAAGGCGGCUCACUGGUCCGGUACUGACGCUGAGGUGCGAAAGCGUGGGGAGCAAACAGG